This 843-nucleotide ribosomal RNA is filed under the name Triticum aestivum (bread wheat). Its description in RNAcentral is "partial small subunit ribosomal RNA". The record is from RNAcentral. Lineage: Eukaryota; Viridiplantae; Streptophyta; Magnoliopsida; Poales; Poaceae.
AUGCCAUAUCUUCCACACGAAGGCCGCAUCAAUGAAAGGUCCGUCAAGGUCAUCGUCGAUGGAGGGAGUUGCCAUAACUUAGCAAGUGAAGAACUAUGCUCCAAGCUCCAAUUGGUCAAGAUGAAGCACCCCCAUCCAUACAUGGUUCAAUGGCUAAGCGACUCCGGCACUAUCCAAGUCGAGCAUAUGAUACAAGUUUCCUUCAAGAUCGGAGCAUACGAAAACAUUUUGGAGUGUGAUGUUGUUCCUAUGUCCGUCUGCCACCUCCUUGGACGACCAUGGCAAUUUAACCGAGGCGUCAUCCACAACGGGCGAACAAACCACUAUAGCUUCAAGAUGAAGGAAAAUGACUACGUGUUAUGCCCUAUGUCGCCUAGUCAAGUGAUCGCCGACAAGCAAGCCACCCAUCGCGAAGAGAACAGUGAGAGAGCAAACCACCAAAAAGAGAAUGAGCGCCACAAGCCCAAAUUGAGUGCCUCCAUGAUGAGCGACAAGAAAAACUUAGUACUAUUUGCCACAAAAAGUGAGAUGAGAGAAGUGUGUGAGAACCCAUCAAGUGGUAUGCACUAUGUCCUUUUGUGCAAGGACGAGACACCAAAAACUAAUACAUCUCACCCUCUACCUUUAGCGGUGUCUUCUCUUUUGCAGGAAUUCCAAGAUGUUUUUCCCAAUGAGCUACCUCUGGGACUAUCACCACUAAGAGGCAUUGAACACCGAAUCGACCUCAUCCCCGGAGCACCCCUUCCUAACAAGGCUCCCUACCGCAUCAACCCCGAGGAAACUAAGGAGAUCCAACGGCAAGUACAACAACUCAUCGACAACGCCAUGUACGAGAAAGUUUGA